RNAcentral lists this unclassified non-coding RNA (236 nucleotides) under fungal sp. RNAcentral describes it as "partial internal transcribed spacer region". The stretch from base 1 to 46 matches the Rfam family "Eukaryotic small subunit ribosomal RNA", at positions 1786 to 1831 of the family's 1831-position model. Lineage: Eukaryota; Fungi. The record is from RNAcentral.
AAGUCGUAACAAGGUUUCCGUAGGUGAACCUGCGGAAGGAUCAUUAAAGAGACGUUGCCCUCCGGGGUAUACCUCCCACCCUCUGUUUAUUAUACCACUGUUGCUUUGGCAGGCCCGUCGUUGGACCGCCGGCUCCGGCCGGCCCGCGCCUGCCAGGGGACCUAAACUCUGUCUGUUAGUGUCGUCUGAGUACUAUACAAUAGUUAAAACUUUCAACAACGGAUCUCUUGGCUCUC